RNAcentral lists this ribosomal RNA (167 nucleotides) under Camarographium sp. RNAcentral's name for it is "partial large subunit ribosomal RNA". It matches the Rfam family "Eukaryotic large subunit ribosomal RNA", at positions 99 to 261 of the family's 3401-position model. The record is from RNAcentral. Lineage: Eukaryota; Fungi; Ascomycota; Dothideomycetes; Pleosporales.
CGGCAACAGCUCAAAUUUGAAAUCUGACCUCCUUUGGCGGUCCGAGUUGUAAUUUGCAGAGGGUGCUUUGGUGUCGUCGGCGGUCUAAGUUCCUUGGAACAGGACGUCACAGAGGGUGAGAAUCCCGUUUGUGAUCGCCAGCCUUCACCGUGUAAAGCCCCUUCGAC